Molecule: long non-coding RNA, 1892 nt
Organism: Pezoporus occidentalis (night parrot)
Lineage: Eukaryota; Metazoa; Chordata; Aves; Psittaciformes; Psittacidae
Exons: 3
Source: RefSeq, a predicted model, not a curated record
CCCUCUGAGGAAGACCGUGGUACACUGUACAAGGUGGCCAGCUUCUUCUCAGCCACUGGAAUGAUGGCUUUGGUGGGUAGUGAAACAUCUUCUGGCCAUCUCCAAGCAUCCCUCACGUUUGUGCCCCAUAGCCUGGAAAAUGGACUAAAACCAGAGAGACUGCCCAGAAAAUGAGGCUGUGUUCACCAAUGCAAUGUGUGUUUUGACAUUGGUUUUUGCAGCAACUCAUCCCCCACCUGGGGCCUUGACAAGAUAACCCAAUAUAUAAAGUUUUCAGAAAAUAACAAUAAAGACCAAAGAAGAUCCUUCUUGCUUCAUAGCUAUCUCUUCCCUUCCUUGUUGGGACCCAAAGAAUGGGAUUAUCUCUGCAUGUACUGAAGGAUGCACAAGAAGUCAGCUAGCUCAUGGCUCUUCAAGUUGUCUAAGCUGCCACUGAAGUAACUUUCAUCCAGACCUGGGGACCUCACAGAACACAUGGAGAAUGUGGUUGGAGUGAAGCCAGAGCAACUCAACAGGCCAUGCAUGGGGAAGGGAGCAGAUGGCCUUGUUGCAUCCAGUACCUCCAGUACUGAAGUCACUGGACUGGUCUCAUUCCCUGGUCAUUUUCCCAUGUGGAUUCAGUUCAGCCUCUAGUCUUCAGACCCUCCAGCUAGCGCAGGUAGGACAAAAAGUUUACUUCCUACAGAAAACCAUGACUCUGCCCUCAGAAAGGCUGGAAAGCCCAAGCCUGGGACAAUUCAGCAGCCACAGGUUGAGGUGCCUCAGCGAGGGACGCACACAGGAAUAAACACUGGAGAAUCACUGUUCCUAAAAUGAUCCUUCAUUUGUUGGCUGCUGGUCGCAACCACUGACCUCAGAGCAUUAAUAAUCCUGAAAGGCUCUGGAGGCUUUUUGGCAUGUGCAUUUUAAUGUAAUAAGCUUUGGCAUCUGAAAUGUUUUUUCCCUUCUUGGCUUCUCCUUUGGGCUUGGAAACAACAGGGUCAGCUCAGUCUUCGAGCAAAAGGAUGAAGACAACCCUCACUUUAAUGCACAGAAUUAUAUCAUCAGUGGCCAGAGGUCACAUCCUGCUGUCUUUAUAAAGAUAACUCCAGCCCCCUCUCUUUUUCCCCAGUCUUUUAUAAACCUGGCUCAACCCAUACCCCAUAGCAGCAGGACUACACAGAGCAACAUCUUGGAUUAGUUACGAGCUUUUCAGAUGCGCUCCAACUCAUAUUUCAUAUCAUUCCCCCCCCCCCAGCCAUAAGAUCUGAGUUUGUCACAUUUACUGGAGACUGAAGUACAAACAUGUUUUAUUCAUUAUCUGUCCUCUUCUUCGCAACAAGCACCUGCAAAACAUUUCAGCUCUAGACCGGAUCAACAAGGCUUCAUUAGGCAAGACACUUUCUCCCUGGCUUGGAUGAUGAAGCUACGCUUUAUCCUUGCACUUCUAGCCUGUAAAAUUGCCCAGAGAUCAUCACCUUAGAAGAAGGCAGACACCCAAGGCCUCGUGACUGAGGUGGAGAAAAAGAGGUUGAGGUAAUUACACAGCCCUGAUUGCUGUGAGCUGGGGGACAUGGAGCUAUUUCAGCCUUGUUGCACCACAGCUCUGCUUUAUCAGCAGCAGAAUGGAGGAUCCCAGCUUUUGCACAGUCUCAGACAGGGAGUUUGCAAGCCCUUGGGAGCAGCCUCUAUUUUUAUCUCUAUUUUAAUCAGUGGUCAAUAUUGGAGAAGUUAUUCACACUCUCUUUGCCCACUGCAGCCCCAUCCUUUCCUUUUUGCCAGCUCUUCCCUCUUGGUUGAUGAAUAUUUAUUAGAUGCAAAACAGAAAAACUUCACCAAGAGAGGCAAAGAAGCUCUUUUCCCUGCAAAAUCCAGCAGCUUGGGGUAAGCCUUGGAAAUAGGGGAGGAACAAG